CCCGCAGGGAGCUGAGAGACUACGCGUCACAGGGGAGGGGGAGGGGCCGAGGCAUGAAAGCGCGCGGACUUGGCGCGAGGCUGAAGCUGCUCUGUCCCUCCCCCACCCACCCACGAAAAGAGGGAGACGGAGCCGCAGGCGGAGGGAUGGACACUCCCUGACAGAUCACCAGAGAGAGGGGCGGAUGCUCGUUCGUGCACAAGCUGCCCGAGCACCCCACCGCCCCGGCCCCCAUGCUGCAGGCAGAGAGGCGCGAGGCAGACGCGGGUGCCGGGGUGAGCGAGCGCGCUGAGAAGGAAGCGUGUCCCAGUUGCAACCUUCCAUCAGAGCGGUCUGACUGGACUAAUCUGAUUGUGUGAUUGGCUCCUACAUUGUUUUGGUUUUUUUCCGGCAACCCUGUGAGAGAAAUUCUAGAGUGCUUUAAUGAACUCCAGACUGCUGAGCAACAGUGUUAUGAAUGGUUCCUGUGCCCCAAAACACAAAUCAAGGCAAUUUGGGGCUGAAAACUUUAGGUUACAGUAUAUUGUCAAGUAGAAGAUGAGCUUUAAAGGUUACCUCCAAAGGAAAUCAAAGGUACUAGUGUGAUUUUUUUUUGUUAAUUCAUCGUGCUAUAUAAAAGGUUAUAUAAAGGCCUUAUUCCCAAAAAUGUGUUUGUCUCCUUUAUUUUAGCCUGAAAAAUAUAAAAAUAUCAUGUUUUCCUUGCUAGUUUUGUUGGACAAAAUAGAAGUUUUCUCAGCUCAUGCGUGAAGAAGGGAGGGAUAAUGAGAUUUACAGAGAAAUGCUUUCUAUCACUUUUUCAUCAGAAUUUUCCUAAUGUCUUAAAUUGACAUUACCAAAAUUAAAAAGAAAAAAACAAGGACAAACUUCUGUUUUGUUGAGUUUCUGCUAAGAAGCACAGCUUUUUAUGGCUCCCUAGUUCUCAAGGUGGAUCUGAGCCAGCACCAGAGUAGGUAAGAACAGCCUUGGUUCACUAACUUAACAACAAAUUGCCCAAAGGAUUAUAUUCCAAAAGGGGAUCAUCAGAACACAGUGCACUCCAGACACACUCUGACCUGACAGCUUUCUACCCCUUAUGCUUGGGUAGAGAGGGUAUCAACCACUCAGAAACUGAAUAUGCCAGGUGACCAGCAACUGAGAGCUCCCUAUGCUGGGGCAGUACUCAAUAAGUCAGAUCCAUUUGCUUUUUUUCUUCUUCUUCUUCUUCCAGAGUAGCACAGAAGGGCCAGAAUUCAUCAGAAAAACUAUCCCAAGAAGUUUUAAAUAGUCUGACUAAAAAUCCCUUGCCCCUCUAAAGUGUUUAGUUUUCACUCUUUGUACAUGUGAUGUAAUCUUAUUAGGAAUCCAGGAGUUCAGUGUCUUCCAGGAAAAACAGAGUAGGCAAAAUCUAAAAUGCAAAUAUAAAAAGCUACACAGAAAGAAAAGCAUGCAGCCUAUCCUCACUUCCCAAAAAAUCAACCGUCCACUUUUCAAGCUUUUAUUACUCAAUAUGUAGAUGCAAUAAAUAAGUGGCACAUACAUUUUAAAGAUAACUGCAAGAGGAAAAAGUAUCUAGUAAAAAAUUCUUUAUCUUUCUGCAGAGAUGCUAUUUAACCAUCAGGGCAUUCUUUACAUAACACAUUAGGUUUUUUCAUGGCAUGCAUGGAAAAUGGAGUUUAAUAAAAAUGAUGUUUUCAAUCUGAUACUUACCAUUCCUACUUAAAGAGUUAAUGAGGUGUAUAGCAUAUUUAUCCACGUAUUUGCAGCCAAAUGUUCAAAGCAGAAAGAUCUGGAAUCCAAUGAUGUAAUUUCAUGUCAUAGGAAACAUUUUUUAGUAUUACCCACAUCUAACCUCAUGGUCAAAUCCCCAAUUGAUUUCCUGCAUAAAAAGAAGAAUUACAAGUGAGCACUGUGGCAGGAUUUGAGCAAGCCUUGGGGAAGUGACCUGGACUGUGUAGAGGAGCAUGAUGAAAUGCUUCCUUUUAACCAUGAAAGAGACUUUAGUACAUUGACACGUACUUGGGAGCAUCAAGAAGUAUUUAGAGGUGAUCCAAUAGUGUGUCAUCACUGAAAAGCUUAUAAACAAACUUUUUUACAUGAUCUUUUAAAAGGUUUUUGCAACAAACAAGAAGGCAUUUUGGAAGAUUAACUUGUGUGUCCAUGGUCAACGGGAGCUAGGGUCAAAGUAGGCUUUAUCAGACCUUUUGCACAUAGAAUGUAAUGUUCUUAGUUUUAAAUAACUAUUGCUGUUGGUUUGGACCAACUUAAGUUUACAACAGUACUGUGUACACAUUUGUAUCAUGAUAAUAUAUUGCAUUACAUUACUGUUGAAAGAAACUACCAUCCUUGUACUGAAUUGUUUGGAAGCAUGACAUGAAAGACACUGUCUCAAAACCAUUACAGUGCCUUCCCUGUGAUUUAUGAAAAUAUGCUUAUGAAUAUGCAUAAAUGGAAAUACUUUGUGCACAAUUAUUAUUGUAAGAUAUUGGAAAGCUUGUAAUCUACUCAUUGUGUAUAUUCUAUUUGCAUGCAUUACCAUUUCUGCAGUUGAAGUUUGGAAUAUUGACUGUAGAUCUAUCAUCAACGUGUUUCAUGUUGGGAAAAGCCUUUUACCAGACCAUCAGGAACAAUAAUAAAGAAGCCAAACACAGAGCUAAUGGCCCACUAGCAAGACUCAAGUGGGAAAGAACUGUCUUCCUGCAAAUAUGCUACAACGACAUGAUCAUGUCACCUGAUGCUGGAUCUUGAAUUUUGUACUUUCACAGAGGUGUGGGGGAAUCUAACAAGGCUUCUCACCCUAGGGAAAUUCUAAGUAAACAAUGAUUGUCUUUAGCUUUACAGACAACUAGUGCACCCCAAGAGGAUACAUGAAAACACCAAGUAGCAAAAGAAUUGUAACGAGAGGAUGGAUCCAGGUCAGAAAAGACAUUUCAUCUGAAAUAAGAGUUAGAGUGAAAAAUUAUGAUUUGUAACUAAUUAUCUUAGUGUAUUAAGCUCAGUUUGUGUGUUCGUUUUGUUUAGUAACCUACAUUGUUCUCUUAUCUCUUUUGACCACUUAAAUCCUACUUUUAAUACACGUCUUUAUUAAUAAACCCAGUGUAAAUAACUGAUAUGAGGGGGCAAGCACAAGGGUGGAGUUUCGAGAGAACGGGGGUGAGUGGGGAGGGAAGAGAGGGCGGCGGCAGCAGCAGUGAACACUGGGACACAGCUUGUUUUUCUUCCUGCUCCCCUGACGAUAAGAGAAUGAGGGGAAAGUACUUGGAUUCUGUGCAGGCCUCUCACUCCUGGCUGGUGAAGGGAGGGGGCAGAGGUGUAAAUCACGGAAUCCAAGUUCUUUCCCCUUGCUCCCUGAUGGUCAGGGAAGCAGGAAGAAAAGCAAGCUGUAGUAAGAUGAAGGCCUAAAACAUAAGUCCAGGUAGUACAGGCCUAGCUAACAAUGGACAACACUUGGCUAAUAUAAAAAGCAAAGCUAAGCGGUGAGCAAGAGGCAGGCACCGGCUCACAGAACUUGGCACAAACAGGGCUAUGAUUGCAAAACACUAAUUGGUAAUAUGCCCAGGUGUUGAACAGUAGUUGGUUAUGGGCAUAAGUUGAAAGCACAUGGUAACACCAGGUCAUUAAAAAGGAUCCUGCUACACACUCCCCACAGAUACAGACCCAGGUUCAGGAAAGAGUCUAAAAUGACAGCAUGAUGGAUAGAAAUGAUCUAAUCAAACCAUGAGGUACAGGGUGAUGGGUGGGAUUUAAGUAGGAUCAGAGGGUGGUAACCUGACCUGUCAGGAGUGAUGUAUAACUUGUUUGUAUCUGUAUAUAAAGUGGUGUCUUGGGAGGACAGUCUUUGGAUGACCGGGGGUGGGAGGGUGGACAGGGCUGUGGGACCUCCCACUUAUUGAGUCAUUCCAUUGUUACGAGUACAUAUGUGUAAUGGUUCAGUAGAGUCUACUGACAACUAUUACUGUACUUUGCUUAACAAUAAACCUGACUGAGCACCUUCGGUCCUAAUCUGAUUUGUGGGUUUUGGGGGCUCUUUUGGGGUCUGCUGUGAAGACUAAGUGCACAGUUUGACAGCACACACCAUGGAGCACACAUGCAAUCAGUCUUCUGGUUAUCAUCAUCCAUGAAGCCAGAGAUCUGUGAGGACACCUUGGCAGUAAAUCCUGACCCUGCCUGAUUGACUGCUCAAGCCACAUCCCGGUGCACCCAGCUGCUGCCCGUCACCCCCAUUCUCUCUAAACUCCAUCCUUGGGCAAACAGCUGUGCAUAUCUAACUUCAAUUGGUAAAGGAGGUGAACAUUUUAUGAGCUUGCUUUGUAUACACUUUAUACAGAGUAAAAUGGACUUAUCUGGGAUUUUGAUCCCAUUGUGGCUUCAUCUGGGUGUUGUUGUCAAGUCCCUUUGAACCUUCCCAGAGCUGAGUUGAUCUCAUUGUCUGUAUGGCUCUGCUGAGGGCUGCAACCCCAACUCUUUGCCAACACUGGAGCAAACCACAGGGUCGUUCUAAACAGGGUAGGGUGGUGGAGUGUCCCAAAAAACAGGAAGGCAGUCUCACUGGUAUUUCAGCACAUCGAGUAACAGUCUCAAGGGGAUUUUUUUGCCCAAACCUGUCACACGUACUACUGUGAUAUAAAAAAGUUAUGUUUCAAAGGAAUGACACAGAAUAUGUAAGUAUGUCUUGUAUCUCAAAUAAGCCAAUCACUUCUCCAUUUAACUGAUUUUAACUGGAUCCCAACAAGUGCAGCAACAAAGUGAACUGAGUUAGUACAGUGAGGAGGUCUUUGUUUACAAGCUACAUCAAGUUCCAAUGUUUAGAUUCAGUCUCAGAUAACCAACAGCUACAAUUUUUUUCAAAUAACAAUUCUCUGAACACUGAAUCCAGAACUUCCUAGAUCUAAAAUACACAAUAAUCUGUCGUUUAUACCACAGUAAGUGCUAUAUUGGCACAUUCCGAAGGAUCUGGGUCCAUAGCUUUGUACUUUUUCCCCAGGCCAAGUCUGUUCUUAAGGAUUCAGGUCCAGAGAUGAUGCUCAGAUACCUAGCUGCACUCCAGAACAAAGCAUUUCCAACCAUCCAUUCUGUCACCCUAUAAAGCAGCAAGGAGUAAUCUAAGCUAGUGAAUGGACUGCAUAAAUGGCCCUCUAGCUCAUUGGGUUGCAAGAUUGUCAUAACCAAGACUGUCUCCUCAGUUAGGGUAGAUUUGCUAACUGCACUUGCAUAUCUAGAAUAUGCAAGUUGUGCCAUUUGAAACAUAGCAGUGCUUUGAUUGGAUGCAGUGAGAAUGCAUCUUUUUCACAGUCAAUAUUGUGUGUAAUCAACAUGCACCUCAUUUCAUGUGCUCUUGCUUUGUCACUUGAGAAGUACUGGUAGGAAAAAACUAUGUGCAGAGAAACCUGUGAAAUCUGCAACUCUGUACAUGGGCAAUGGUAAACAAAAUGUCUUGUAGGUCACAUAGAACAUCAGUGAGCUGCAUGUGGCCCACAGGAUGCAGGUUCCCUACCACUGCUGAUGUUUGUCCAUCGUGUUCGAAGAGGACCUUGACAUCUAACGAGUUGUGGGCUGUCCACGGUGUGU
Pelodiscus sinensis (Chinese soft-shelled turtle) is the source of this 5544-nucleotide non-coding RNA. Lineage: Eukaryota; Metazoa; Chordata; Testudines; Trionychidae. The record is from RefSeq and is a predicted model, not a curated record.